This 619-nucleotide ribosomal RNA is filed under the name Celeribacter sp. RNAcentral describes it as "bacterial SSU rRNA". It matches the Rfam family "Bacterial small subunit ribosomal RNA", at positions 172 to 826 of the family's 1533-position model. The record is from RNAcentral. Lineage: Bacteria; Pseudomonadati; Pseudomonadota; Alphaproteobacteria; Rhodobacterales; Roseobacteraceae.
UAUACGCCCUUCGGGGGAAAGAAUUUCGGUGAGGGAUCGGCCCGCGUUAGAUUAGUUAGUUGGUGGGGUAAUGGCCUACCAAGACUACGAUCUAUAGCUGGUUUGAGAGGAUGAUCAGCAACACUGGGACUGAGACACGGCCCAGACUCCUACGGGAGGCAGCAGUGGGGAAUCUUAGACAAUGGGGGCAACCCUGAUCUAGCGAUGCCGCGUGAGUGAUGAAGGCCUUAGGGUCGUAAAGCUCUUUCGCCUGUGAUGAUAAUGACAGUAGCAGGUAAAGAAACCCCGGCUAACUCCGUGCCAGCAGCCGCGGUAAUACGGAGGGGGUUAGCGUUGUUCGGAAUUACUGGGCGUAAAGCGCACGUAGGCGGAUUAGUCAGUCAGAGGUGAAAUCCCAGGGCUCAACCCUGGAACUGCCUUUGAUACUGCUAGUCUUGAGUUCGAGAGAGGUAAGUGGAAUUCCGAGUGUAGAGGUGAAAUUCGUAGAUAUUCGGAGGAACACCAGUGGCGAAGGCGGCUUACUGGCUCGAUACUGACGCUGAGGUGCGAAAGUGUGGGGAGCUAACAGGAUUAGAUACCCUGGUAGUCCACACCGUUAACGAUGAAUGCCAGUCGUCGG